AACCAGGUUUGUUAUUGGUAUGAGCUUUUGUGUGCAUGCACACUUCUUCAGAUACACUGUUUCAGUGUACCUGUUUCAGUGUAUCUGAAGAAGUGUGCAUGCACACGAAAGCUCAUACCAAUAACAAACUUAGUUGA
This 137-nucleotide microRNA precursor is filed under the name Podarcis lilfordi (Lilford's wall lizard). The record is from RNAcentral. Lineage: Eukaryota; Metazoa; Chordata; Lepidosauria; Squamata; Lacertidae.